Molecule: long non-coding RNA, 1151 nt
Organism: Helianthus annuus (common sunflower)
Lineage: Eukaryota; Viridiplantae; Streptophyta; Magnoliopsida; Asterales; Asteraceae
Exons: 4
Source: RefSeq, a predicted model, not a curated record
ACAGUUUCCCUCCCCUCACCCUCCCAAAAAGUUUUAAUAUCCCUCCUCCCUCUUUAACCUAAAUCGGUUCCCUCUUUCAUAUUUCAUAGAUCUUCUGAGUUGUGACCAUCCGACAAUCACAAACCCUAAUCAACAUAUGAGGGGAUAAAUAAGAAGGAUCUCAAAUGAAAAUUCCACAUGCUCUGUUUGUUUUUUGUGGGCGAUAACUAGAGCAAGGAAGGAGGAAGAAAUCGGAUUUUUCAAGAAAUUGUUCAAAGUUAUCCAUGCCUUGAUUAAAAUCGUGUAUCUCUAAGUGAUUUUAAAUCAGUACUUAACCCAUGGAAGUCAAUGCGUCGAUGGAAGGAUUCAAUAUACGACAAAUCCUACGGGCGAAGAUGCUUUGGAAACAGAAAAUUUGCUCAAGUGGCGGCCAAGCUAUUGAAAGCCCUAUCAUAUGUUACACUAGUAAACAAUGCUUGGGAAGUGGAAGGUCUUGAGAAAAUAUAGAGCUAUUCAUAUUGACACUUUUUUAUCUAUUAAUUUGGAGUUUGGAUAAAGCAUUUUUAAGGAUUACUGGUGCUAAAGUUUUUUUUUCAAUAUACAACCAAUCAUUUCUCUACCAUUUUAUAGGACCAAAGCAACUUUUUUCAAUGGCCAGACAGGUAUCUUAGAGGCUCUAAUUUAUUUGUAGUUUUUUUGUGCUUUUGAUAUCGAGUUAAGCUUAUUGAUUUCUUCGUAUGGAUUAACGCUAGGGUAAGCACUUAAUCCCUUAUGUAAAUUGUGGGUGUAAUGAUAUUGUAAAUAUUGACACCCUUUAGUUUAAACUUAAAUCGCAAUGGUUUCACAUUUCUUGAUAUUUUUAAUUGUGGUAGUGUCCACGUCAGCCAGGAGGUACUGAAUGCGGCUACUAUGUGAUGAAGUUCAUGAAGGAGACAACUUACGAAUUGAAGGAGUUGAAAUACUUGACAAUGAUAAUGUUGGGAAAGGAGUAGAAGAAUACUCGGCUGCGGAUAUGGAUGGCAUUCGUGAAGAUUGGUCGACUUAUGCGGUUAACUCUAUUUUUAAGUUAUAAAUCGUAUUUUAGGUGUUGAUAAUGUAUAGACAAACAAUUCUUUUUUGUUAACAUUAAAAUAUUUGUAGUAUACUUGACAAAUGAUUAUGUAAUGGAUUGU